Molecule: ribosomal RNA, 251 nt
Filed under: uncultured bacterium
Lineage: Bacteria
Description: partial 16S ribosomal RNA
Rfam family: Bacterial small subunit ribosomal RNA
Source: RNAcentral
UACGUAGGGGGCGAGCGUUGUCCGGAGUUACUGGGCGUAAAGCGCACGCAGGCGGUCUGCUAAGUUUGGAGUGACAGUUGGUGGCUUAACUGCCAAAGUGCUUCGAAAACUGACAGACUUGAGGGCUUCAGAGGGACACGGAAUUCCGGGUGGAGUGGUGAAAUGCGUAGAGAUCGGAGGAACACCAAAGGCGAAGGCAGUGUCCCGGGGAGACCUGACGCUCAGGUGCGAAAGCCAGGGGAGCGAACGGG